Molecule: ribosomal RNA, 384 nt
Filed under: uncultured bacterium
Lineage: Bacteria
Description: bacterial SSU rRNA
Rfam family: Bacterial small subunit ribosomal RNA
Source: RNAcentral
AUUGAACGCUGGCGGCAUGCCUUACACAUGCAAGUCGAACGGUAACGGGCCUUCGGGUGCCGACGAGUGGCGAACGGGUGAGUAAUGUAUCGGAACGUACCUUUCAGUGGGGGAUAACGUAGCGAAAGUUACGCUAAUACCGCAUAUUCUGUGCGCAGGAAAGCAGGGGAUCGCAAGACCUUGCGCUGAUUGAGCGGCCGAUAUCAGAUUAGCUAGUUGGUGAGGUAAAGGCUCACCAAGGCGACGAUCUGUAGCGGGUCUGAGAGGAUGAUCCGCCACACUGGAACUGAGACACGGUCCAGACUCCUACGGGAGCAGCAGUGGGGAAUUUUGGACAAGUGGGGGCAACCCUGAUCCAGCCAUGCCGCGUGCGGGACGAAGGCC